CCUAGCCAGCCAAACAGAGCAGACGAACGAUGAGACCGAACUAAUCUAUUAACGUUGGAACUAACCGAACGAAGCCGGUGAAACAGCACAGUACCGAGUUCUCUCGUGGUUGAUUCUUGAAAAUUAUAGCUUUGCGUCGUCUCAUACCCACCAUAAGUAGCCCUUGCGCCGGCCUAACUGCGCUGUGCGGUGUUCUGAAGUAUCGUUUGCUAGAAAACCCGACUUGUUCAACUGCUUGCAGAUGAUCGCUCGUCGUGCCGAGACGCAAUAGCAGACAUGCACACAGACCUGUCCUCUCACCUGCAUUCCGAGGAAUGUAACAAACUUAUAGCGUUAAUGAUGCAGUGUUACAAAGAGAACAAAUGGGCCAAGUUCUUCGGGGCCUGCAAUGAUAUUGACGUAGAAAUGACGCACUGUCUAAAGAAAGAGCGGCUGGAAAAACGUGCGAAGAACUACGAGAAAUCUAACGCGAAACGGCUUCGCGAUCAACAGUCAUGAAACAGCCAUGUGAUAGUGCACUCAAGCGAAAAAAAAAGAAGAUUAAAAGAAAACCUAGGAACUCUGUUUGCUUCUUUUGUGACUGCGUCUUUUUUUUUAUUUGGUGAUUUGGUAUUACGUAAACGUAAUGCUAAAACAAUGAAGUGGGGGUGGGGAGGGGGAGCUGGAGAACUUAUACACUAAUCAUCCACUGAGUGAAUGUAUAGGAAUGCAAAUAAAAACAAAAUAAUCCACCGUCAA
This 738-nucleotide long non-coding RNA is filed under the name Rhipicephalus microplus (southern cattle tick). Its description in RNAcentral is "uncharacterized LOC119176237, transcript variant X2". Lineage: Eukaryota; Metazoa; Arthropoda; Arachnida; Ixodida; Ixodidae. The record is from RNAcentral.